AGCGAACGCUGGCGGCAGGCCUAACACAUGCAAGUCGAACGAACCUUUCGGGGUUAGUGGCGGACGGGUGAGUAACACGUGGGAACGUGCCUUUAGGUUCGGAAUAACUCAGGGAAACUUGUGCUAAUACCGAAUGUGCCCUUCGGGGGAAGAUUAAUCGCCUUUAGAGCGGCCCGCGUCUGAUUAGCUAGUUGGUUGAGGUAAUGGCUCACCAAGGCGACGAUCAGUAGCUGGUCUGAGAGGAUGAUCAGCCACAGUGGGACUGAGACACGGCCCAAACUCCUACGGGAGGCAGCAGUGGGGAAUCUUGCGCAAUGGGCGAAAGCCUGACGCAGCCAUGCCGCGUGAAUGAUGAAGGUCUUAGGAUUGUAAAAUUCUUUCACCGGGGACGAUAAUGACGGUACCCGGAGAAGAAGCCCCGGCUAACUUCGUG
RNAcentral lists this ribosomal RNA (433 nucleotides) under uncultured bacterium. RNAcentral describes it as "partial 16S ribosomal RNA". It matches the Rfam family "Bacterial small subunit ribosomal RNA", at positions 29 to 507 of the family's 1533-position model. The record is from RNAcentral.